AUUAAUUCGUCACUAUGUAUUUGUUGUAAGAGGAAAUAAGUGAGUACAACGACAUUGACUUUCAGAGUACAAUGUUAUGUAUUGUAUUCGUCAGUAUAUGGUCCUCCGACAUGCAUGUGCUGCCUUAAAUUGUUUAUUACACAGAACCCUUCAGAAUUAUCUUAUAAUUUGCUUAUGCAAAACAUGAUUUCAGUUUGGUGCAUUUUCUUGCUUUGUUAGGCUGCGUGGUGUAUCAGAUUUAGGUCGGUUCAGAGGAAAUCUGCGGGAGAUUUGCAUGAGAUAGCAAUACUGUGGCCCAUGAAACAGCAAAAAAUUAUCAACGUGGUGUAUCAGAUGUACAUUGACUUUCAGAGCACCAUCAACUAGCUUGAUCUGGUGUCCACUCGAAUAGAAAAGAAGAUGAAGUGCGUGACCAUUGUAGCUAUCAUUUAACCAAAUGACGAAUGUGUGCAUCUGAAGAAGGACUGAGGGUGAGAAGAACAGUUUGUGCGGCUUGGAGUGGGUGAGAAUUUUCUAGCCGGUAAUUAGGGAUUUCCAGCAAACGUGGCAGAGCAAAAUCCAUGUGAUCAACGUACCUCUGUUUCCUCAAUCCUACCAGGAAAGUUUCCAGACUAUACUGGUUCUAAGUUGAGAUUGUUUGUAGAGAAAUCCAGAUAGUUGGAUAUUUAGUACCAUACUCGGUUUUAUAUAUUUAACUGGAUUGUAAGUUCAGAAAGAUUCAAGACGGAUGGGCCGGCUCUGUAUCAAUAGAGUGUGUACGGUCUGUAUAAAACGCAUGUGGUUUAGUUUUUCUUAACCGGCUUCCUGCGUGUUCUCUUAUCAGUGCAUCAAGUCAAAAAUAUUGGUUCUAGCUGAAAUAUCUCCCCCCUGCAGUUUAAACCAAGUGCAGCAUUAUGGUUUUCUUAGUGGACCAACUGCGGCAAGAUCGAUCUGCCCAACAAGUCUGUUAAUCUUUCCAUGUUUCCAACGUGUGCCGGAGUCAAUAGGUGCGAUUUUUUUAAACCCUUAUGCUAAUUUAAGUAAUUAGUGGACUUGUAUUGAGAGUUUUAUGGUUUGAUUAGUGUCUCAAGGAAAAUUUAAUUGGUUAACUAAUUAGCUCCAAUGUUUCUAAUUCUAGAUGACUUCUAUGUAACUAAGACCGUUUGUGUUCAGGUUAAUAUUACGAUGGUAAUUCUCCUCGUCGUAUUUUUUUUUAUUUCAUGGAGUGAUGAUAAAGGAGUUUCUUUUUUCUAGGGCUUGUUUCCAGUAUGUAAAAUGUGUACCCCAACAAUAUGUGGUAACAUAUGCGCCAUAGAUUUGAUGUGGGAACUGUCUUUGCGCAAUAUAACAUCUUUCUUAACACCACAGACUUUUGGAUAAAUAAUCCAUAUAUAUUUACGGUCACAAGCUUGUGAGCAUAGCUAGCUGUUUAUUGUAGUAUUUGGUUAUGUGUAUAUCUUUCGUUUGCCAUACAAAUAAAUGAACGUUAGUUUUAAUUAAGAUAACAUCUCAAUUUGGUUUGUACAUCGCGAAGCAAGUCGGAAAAUAUCUACUAUGGGGAAUGUUUUUGGGGAGGAUUCUUGUGGUUUCGAAUGAGGAGGUAGCACCCUGUUUUGUAAUGCUCAAAUAUAUUCUACUUAACAACCUAGAUUCCCAUUUGUAGAAAUUUUACUUCCACGUGUACAAGGUUACUUUGGUUGUUGUUCAGGUCCAGGUUGUUUAUCAUGCCAUGAGAAGAGACAUGAGGAUAAAAUAGAUCUUAUGAAUUACGAUUACUUAUUCCUAUAUAGUUCCUUCCAUUUUGUAACACCGACUUCCUAUUGUACAUCACAUUGAUAUGCUUACAAUUUGCUUAAAUUGUAUGCUUUAGAAUGAAAAUUAUUGCUUUACAUCAUUGCCUACAGGUACAAAUCUCAAGAUUUGAAAAACAAAUGGGUACAUAUUUAAAAAAACGUGUGAGAAGUGGGGAGGACAACGAUUUGGUGGCGCAAGUGUUCGAGGUGGCUAGGAAACACAACAUUCAUCGCUAAGGAUGGGGGAAUAUAUGGGGCUCACAUCA
Molecule: long non-coding RNA, 2038 nt
Filed under: Triticum aestivum (bread wheat)
Lineage: Eukaryota; Viridiplantae; Streptophyta; Magnoliopsida; Poales; Poaceae
Description: long non-coding RNA (TAES_LNC004045)
Source: RNAcentral